Molecule: long non-coding RNA, 420 nt
Organism: Gossypium raimondii (Peruvian cotton)
Lineage: Eukaryota; Viridiplantae; Streptophyta; Magnoliopsida; Malvales; Malvaceae
Exons: 2
Source: RefSeq, a predicted model, not a curated record
CCAUGGAAGAAGAGAGAAAAUUUUCUCUUUUCUUUUCUUUGCCACAUCCCAACCUUGAGUUCUUGCUAAAAUCACUUGGAAAAUUAUCUCCUAAACUCAUUUCCACCAUCAAUCUCUCCAUUUUAAACCUAGGUUUUGGAUGUGUUUAGUAAGAGAAGUUGAAGCUAGAGAGAGAAAGCUUCACUAAGAAAUGGGAUUUCAAGUUAGGAUGAGGACGGGUUCAAGUGAUUGGAGGAUUGGUUUUGAUUAUAAGUGCAUUUAAGAGGUAAAUACCCUUGGAGACUCUUACUUCUCCUAUACUAAUAUGUUUAGGAAAAUGAUAAAAUUGUGUGUUAAAUAUGAAACUGAUUAUGAAAUAGAUAUGUGUAAGUUCCAUAGCUUAAAGUAUUAGAAAUAAAUGGCUUGAAAAAUUGUGGCUUA